AAGACUAUACUUUCAGGAAUCAUUUCUAUAGUUUAUUACAAAUAUUAAGCUUUGAACUAGUAAGCACUAUGUAAGAGUAGACAUUAUC
RNAcentral lists this small nucleolar RNA (88 nucleotides) under Pteropus vampyrus (large flying fox). RNAcentral's name for it is "Small nucleolar RNA U3 (ENSPVAG00000030156.1)". It matches the Rfam family "Small nucleolar RNA U3", at positions 1 to 97 of the family's 219-position model. From Rfam's summary of the family: Small nucleolar RNAs (snoRNAs) are involved in the processing and modification of rRNA in the nucleolus. There are two main classes of snoRNAs: the box C/D class, and the box H/ACA class. U3 snoRNA is a member of the box C/D class. Lineage: Eukaryota; Metazoa; Chordata; Mammalia; Chiroptera; Pteropodidae. The record is from RNAcentral.